Molecule: long non-coding RNA, 1817 nt
Filed under: Anas platyrhynchos (mallard)
Lineage: Eukaryota; Metazoa; Chordata; Aves; Anseriformes; Anatidae
Description: lncRNA (ENSAPLG00020004458.1)
Source: RNAcentral
UCCGCUUGUGUUUCUUCCUCCUCGAAAAAGUGUGUUUUUCGUAAAAAUUCGUCACCGCGGCACCCCGUUUCUUCACAGCGGUGCUGGGGACAGAAUGUAGUUUUGUCCUGUGGUUUUUCUUUCGCCUCAGGGUUAAAAUGGUUUUCGUGCGAGGCUGGAAUCCUUGAGUUUGGGGUUUGCACGCAGAGCCGGACAUUAUUAACUGCUGUUGCAGAAGAGAUCAUAAACACAACUAAGGUGAGAAGACAGGAUGCAGCAGCAGGCUUUUGUCUUGCUCUGAGGCUUCACACAAGAUGGAAUAACAUACAACCACAGCACAGAUUUUCCUGCUCUCUGCACUGAUCCUGCUGCCAGCAGGCUUUUUUUUUUCUCCUUUCUCUCUUUUUUUGUAGGUCAUUGAGGAAACUGCUUAAACAAAGAAAUGAGGCCAUAGCAGCUUUUGGAAAAUUCUUCUCUUGACUUGCUCAGGUUGCUGAGGCAGAACAUUUUUCAUUCCUAUUAUCACGAAUUUCCCUUCCCUUGUUACAAGGUCAGAGAGUGGCAAAACAUGCACACGCACAUACAUGAAAAGGAGCUCAUGUUUUGAACUGGCAGAUGAGAAAAAACAGGGUGGCGGGGGUGGGGUGGUAGCGGGUGUGGUUUCUUUUUCCAAGCCAGGAGUCUGUGAUGUGGGAUAAACUGAAUAUGUAUAAAAUGAAUUUUUUAGGAUGGGCUGGAUAGAGGAGUUACUUGUUUAGAAACAUGCAGUACAAUGUGGGAAAGAAUAGGAGACCUUAGUAAAUCAUUUGAUAUUAUGAAAAUGCAGUCAUCUGACUUUCUUCACUUCUUUCAAUAAUAUUAUGUCACACAGACAUUCUUGUGGAUUGGGGCAAUAGAGGGGACAGUUUAAAGAUAUUGUUAGUGGUGCUGAUUUACCUGUGACUCAGGUGUAGCCAGUGUGAGAAACUGCCAAGAGAUGUGGUAGCAUUCUAGAGUGGCUUUUGUCUACAAAAGACAGAAUGGCAUUACUUGCAAAAGUAUAGCAACAACAGAAGGAGAUCAAGUGAAUUUGGAGCUAAUAUCUACACUGAUGCUGAAUUUCAUUAACACUUGUUAUAUGUGAUUUAUUUAGAUUAAUUCUGACUUUUGGGUAGUCCAGAUAUACCCAGAAAAUAAAUGAAGUCACAAAGUCACUCAUCACAAUGGAAAUCUGUCAGGCUUAGGAUAAUUUGUGGUUCACUUUUCAGCUAUGGAUGUGGGAUUUUAUUUAAAAACUGAUUUAGUGUGCUGUUCUAAAUCAUAAUACAUUUUUACAUUAAAAAAAACAAACAAACAAACACUUUUGUAUCUCAAUAGGAAAGAGUUACUAUUGCAUACUGCUCAGUGUCUGGGACUGAUUCUUCCCCAUAAUAAAAGGAUUUUAUUAUUCAUAGAGUUUUAAAAUUCCCAGAUAGAUCAGUAUUAUCUUUACAUAAGAAAAUGAUAGGCAGAGGCAGAAAGUUUGCCGUUAUCUAGUUAAAGAGAUCUAUACAGCCUUUACCAUUUUCAUUAAAAUGAACUCUCUGUGAUAUUAUUCAGAUUUCCAACAUUCAGCUUUAGUUUGAUGCAAAGCAAAAGAGAAAUAGCUCCUGGAUCAUUCCAGGCCAUUGAUUGAAUCAUCGAACAGCUUGCAUUGGAAGGGACCUUAAAAAUCAUCUAGUUCCAACCCCUCUGCAAUGGGCGGGGAUGCCACCCACUAGAUCAGAUUGCCCAGGGCCUCAUCCAGCCUGGUCUUCAGCAUUUCCAAGGAUGCAGCACCCACAACUUCUCUGGGCAACCUGUUCCAGUGCCUUACCACC